CCAUGGGGAGGGAUAGAAUGCUAGUCGUGCGCCUUCUAGCCAUGCUGGAGGCGCGGCACACAGCUCAGUAACACGUGGCUAACCUGCCCUUGAGACGGGAGCAUCCCCGGGAAACUGGGGCUAAUUUCCGAUAGGUGAAGAUCCCUGGAAUGGGUUUUCGCCCAAAGGACGUUUAGGUCAUGCUUCUAGACGUUGUUCAAGGAUGGGGCCGCGGCCGAUCAGGUUGUUGGUGAGGUAAUGGCUCACCAAGCCUUUGACCGGUUCGGGCCGUGGGAGCGGUAGCCCGGAGAUGGGCACUGAGACAAGGGCCCAGGCCCUACGGGGCGCAGCAGUCGCGAAAACUUCGCAAUAAGCGAAAGCUUGACGGGGCCAUCCCGAGUGCCAUCUGCUGAGGAUGGCUUUUACCCAGUAUAGAUAGCUGGGGGAAUAAGGAGAGGGCAAGUCUGGUGUCAGCCGCCGCGGUAAUACCAGCUCUCCGAGUUGUGGGGACGUUUAUUGAGCCUGAAGCAUCCGUAGCUGGCUGGGCAAGUCCUCUGUUAAAUCCAGCGACUAAUCGUUGGCCUGCGGGGGAUACUGCUCGGCUAGGGGGCGGGAGAGGCCGUCGGUAUUCUUGGGGUAGGGGUGAAAUCCUAUAAUCCCAGGAGGACCACCAGUGGCGAAGGCUGUCGGCUAGAACGCGCCCGACGGUGAGGGAUGAAAGCUGGGGGAGCGAACCGGAUUAGAUACCCGGGUAGUCCCAGCUGUAAACGAUGCAGGCUAGGUGUUAGGGCGGCUACGUGCCGCUCUAGUGCCGCAGGGAAGCUGUUAAGCCUGCCGCUUGGGGAGUACGGCCGCAAGGCUGAAACUUAAAGGAAUUGGCGGGGGAGCACCACAAGGGGCGAAGCUUGCGGUUUAAUUGGAUUCAACGCCGGA
Molecule: ribosomal RNA, 912 nt
Filed under: uncultured archaeon
Lineage: Archaea
Description: bacterial SSU rRNA
Rfam family: Archaeal small subunit ribosomal RNA
Source: RNAcentral